This 251-nucleotide ribosomal RNA is filed under the name uncultured prokaryote. Its description in RNAcentral is "partial 16S ribosomal RNA". It matches the Rfam family "Bacterial small subunit ribosomal RNA", at positions 524 to 774 of the family's 1533-position model. The record is from RNAcentral.
UACGGAGGAUGCAAGCGUUAUCCGGAUUUAUUGGGUUUAAAGGGUGCGCAGGUGGUUUGAUAAGUCAGUGGUGAAAGUCUGUCGCUUAACGGUAGGAUUGCCAUUGAUACUGUUAGACUUGAAUAUGGAUGAGGUAGGCGGAAUGUGUAGUGUAGCGGUGAAAUGCAUAGAUAUUACACAGAACACCGAUUGCGAAGGCAGCUUACUAAUCCAUCAUUGACGCUGAGGCACGAAAGCGUGGGGAUCAAACA